RNAcentral lists this transfer RNA (67 nucleotides) under Spirochaetaceae bacterium. RNAcentral describes it as "tRNA-Thr". The record is from RNAcentral. Lineage: Bacteria; Pseudomonadati; Spirochaetota; Spirochaetia; Spirochaetales; Spirochaetaceae.
GGAAAAGUCCAAAGGAGGACACAGGACGUGACUGGAGGGAGGGGUUCAAGUCCCCUCAUCUCCACCA